RNAcentral lists this ribosomal RNA (628 nucleotides) under uncultured bacterium. RNAcentral describes it as "bacterial SSU rRNA". It matches the Rfam family "Bacterial small subunit ribosomal RNA", at positions 217 to 842 of the family's 1533-position model. The record is from RNAcentral.
GGCUACGGAUGGUCAUGCGUCGCAUUAGCUAGUUGGCGGGGUAACGGCCCACCAAGGCGACGAUGCGUAGGGGUUCUGAGAGGAAGGUCCCCCACACUGGUACUGAGACACGGACCAGACUCCUACGGGAGGCAGCAGUGAGGAAUAUUGGUCAAUGGCCGCAGGGCUGAACCAGCCAAGUCGCGUGAGGGAUGACGGUCCUAUGGAUUGUAAACCUCUUUUGUCAGGGAGCAAAGGGCGCCACGUGUGGCGCUUUGCGAGUACCUGAAGAAAAAGCAUCGGCUAACUCCGUGCCAGCAGCCGCGGUAAUACGGAGGAUGCGAGCGUUAUCCGGAUUUAUUGGGUUUAAAGGGUGCGCAGGCGGAAUGUCAAGUCAGCGGUAAAAUUUCGGGGCUCAACCCCGUCGUGCCGUUGAAACUGGCGUUCUUGAGUGAGCGAGAAGUAUGCGGAAUGCGUGGUGUAGCGGUGAAAUGCAUAGAUAUCACGCAGAACUCCGAUUGCGAAGGCAGCAUACCGGCGCUCAACUGACGCUCAUGCACGAAAGCGUGGGUAUCGAACAGGAUUAGAUACCCUGGUAGUCCACGCAGUAAACGAUGAAUACUAACUGUCCGGGCAGAAUGAUGCCUGG